AACGAACGCUGGCGGCAUGCCUAACACAUGCAAGUCGAACGCGUGACUUCGGUCACGAGUGGCGCACGGGUGAGUAGCGCGUGGGAACCUGCCUUUGGGUUCGGGAUAACCGCGGGAAACUGCGGCUAAUACCGGAUGUCCCCUACGGGGGAAAGAUUUAUCGCCCGAAGAGGGGCCCGCGUCCGAUUAGGUAGUUGGUGAGGUAACGGCUCACCAAGCCUUCGAUCGGUAGCUGGUCUGAGAGGAUGAUCAGCCACACUGGGACUGAGA
RNAcentral lists this ribosomal RNA (270 nucleotides) under uncultured bacterium. Its description in RNAcentral is "partial 16S ribosomal RNA". It matches the Rfam family "Bacterial small subunit ribosomal RNA", at positions 29 to 324 of the family's 1533-position model. The record is from RNAcentral.